RNAcentral lists this ribosomal RNA (207 nucleotides) under uncultured bacterium. RNAcentral's name for it is "partial 16S ribosomal RNA". It matches the Rfam family "Bacterial small subunit ribosomal RNA", at positions 568 to 774 of the family's 1533-position model. The record is from RNAcentral.
AGCGCAGGCGGGAGAACAAGUUGGAAGUGAAAUCUAUGGGCUCAACCCAUAAACUGCUUUCAAAACUGUUUUUCUUGAGUAGUGCAGAGGUAGGCGGAAUUCCCGGUGUAGCGGUGGAAUGCGUAGAUAUCGGGAGGAACACCAGUGGCGAAGGCGGUCUACUGGGCACCAACUGACGCUGAGGCUCGAAAGCAUGGGUAGCAAACA